AGGAUGAACGCUGGCGGCGUGCCUAAAACAUGCAAGUCAUACGGUCUACCUUCGGGUAGACAGUGGCAAACGGGUGAGUAACACGUGGGAACACGCCUUCGAGUGGGGAAUAACGCUGAGAAAUCAGUGCUAAUACCGUAUAUGGUCUAACGACUAAAGCAGUAAUGCGCUCGGAGAGUGGCCCGCGUCCGAUUAGCUAGUUGGUGGGGUAAUGGCCUACCAAGGCGGUGAUCGGUAGCUGGUCUGAGAGGAUGGUCAGCCACACCGGGACUGCGAACGGCCCAGACUCCUACGGGAGGCAGCAGUUAGGAAUUUUCGGCAAUGGACGAAAGUCUGACCGAGCGACGCCGCGUGGAGGACGAAGCCUUUCGGGGUGUAAACUCCUUUUCUGCGGGAAGAUAAUGACGGUACCGCAGGAAUAAGCACCGGCUAACUACGUGCCAGCAGCCGC
RNAcentral lists this ribosomal RNA (451 nucleotides) under uncultured bacterium. RNAcentral describes it as "SSU rRNA". It matches the Rfam family "Bacterial small subunit ribosomal RNA", at positions 26 to 518 of the family's 1533-position model. The record is from RNAcentral.